Leucoraja erinaceus (little skate) is the source of this 981-nucleotide long non-coding RNA. RefSeq lists it as uncharacterized. The record is from RefSeq and is a predicted model, not a curated record. NCBI's taxonomy places the organism in Eukaryota, Metazoa, Chordata, Chondrichthyes, Rajiformes, Rajidae. The transcript is spliced from 2 exons.
GGUUGGAUGCCGUCAUGACCGAGGGUAUGCAGGCCCCUCAGCAAAUGUUACCCACUUAAGGUGAACCCCAAGGAACAAAGGGGAAUGAAAAGGUGGAGAGUUGAAAAUGAACAAGAAAAAGAAGGCAUGUGGACAUUAUAUUAUGAACUAUUGUGGUGGAAGUCAUUCUUCUUAAAGUCAAGCAGAAUUGAAGGAGGUGGUGGGAUUGUCAUUUAUUUCCAACCCCCGAUUCAGCAAACAGUUGGUCUCUGCGGUCAAUGUCAAUGAACAAAGCCCCUGGUUGAAAAGACUGAAAUAAGUGAUGAACUGACACAAGUGAGUCCUAUGAGGGAACCAAGCGGGGCCAGAGAAUUACAUGCCAAUAAUACAUGUCUUGGGGAACUUUUCCUCAAAGUCCUAUCAGGAGUGAAAUUAAUCUGGAGAUUAUAAGCCCUAACUGGACUGGGGUCCCCAAGAGAGAGAAAGGGAUUUAAGGAAGGAUGUCAAGAAAGGCCAGGAUGAGAAUUAAAAACCAAGGAGCUGUUGGCACAGAGUCCCCAUCUCGACUUGCCAAUCCAUUCUGUGAAAGCAGAGAACUGGGAUCUUGUAAAAUCAUGGAAGGAAGAAAAGCUGCAACCAAAGUGGACUGGACCCUACCUUGCGUUAUUAAUCACCGAGACAGCAGUACGAACAAAAGAAAAAGGGUGGACACACGCAAACCGAUUUAAGGGUCCUGUGGAGGCCCCACCAGACAAUAUCAGCCCGUAGACUGUGCGUGAAGGGAAGGAACCAUUGACUUUGUGCCUAUUCGGAUGUUGUAUUAUUCCCUGCGCUGGCCUUCAGAACACAGUAUGACUAGCGAGAGGAGGAUAGGGAGGCGAAGAAUCUGCUGCUAGCACUAGAAAAGGAAGAUAUAGUAUAAUUCAAAAGAUGCGUAGCAAAAAGAAAAAUGGUGGAUUGUGAGAGAAGGGUUAAUAGGGAUGAUUGAAUUAUACUAGAACU